This 777-nucleotide ribosomal RNA is filed under the name uncultured Neocallimastigales. RNAcentral describes it as "partial large subunit ribosomal RNA". It matches the Rfam family "Eukaryotic large subunit ribosomal RNA", at positions 23 to 639 of the family's 3401-position model. Lineage: Eukaryota; Fungi; Neocallimastigomycota; Neocallimastigomycetes; Neocallimastigales. The record is from RNAcentral.
AGAGAGAGACAUGCGCGCAUAUCAAUAAGCGGAGGAAAAGAAACUAACUAGGAUUCCCUCAGUAACGGCGAGUGAAGCGGGAAGAGCUCAAAUUUGAAAUCUUAAAGGUUCUACCUUGACGAAUUGUAGUUUAAAGAAGUGUUUUCUGUUGGAGUUUUGGUAAAAGUUCUUUGGAAUAGGACAUCAUAGAGGGUGAGAAUCCCCGUAUUUGACCAUUAUUUCCAGCUUUGUGAUACACUUUCAAAGAUGUCGGAUUGUUUGGGAAUGCAGUCCAAAAUGGGUGGUAAAUUUCAUCUAAAGCUAAAUACUUGGCGAGAGACCGAUAGCGAACAAGUACCGUGAGGGAAAGAUGAAAGGAACUUUGAAAAGAGAGUUAAACAGUACGUGAAAUUGUCAAAAGGGAAGCGUUUGACACCAGUGUUGUUUUCUCGAAAAUCAAUUAAAAAAGGCAGGAUUUUGUGUUGUAUUGACUUUAUCAGCUUUCUGCACUCUUUUCUUGUCUUUUUUAAUGCACUUUUCGUUUAACAAGUCAACAUCAAUUUCUUUUGUUGUAAAAGGGUCAUUGGAAGGUGGCUUUCUUUUCGGAGAAAGUGUUUAUAGCCUUUGGCCUCUGCAAUCGGAGAGAUUGAGGUCUGCAGCGUAGAUCCUUCGGGGUUAGAUACAUUUGUGCUAUGUUAUAGCCUUUCAUAGACAACUUGUUGACUAUGAUCAGUCAUGUAGCUUACUCGCUUAUGCUAUUUUACCUACGCUUAGGAUGUUGAUGUGAUACUGCGAGCA